RNAcentral lists this transfer RNA (71 nucleotides) under Verrucomicrobiota bacterium. Its description in RNAcentral is "Verrucomicrobia bacterium tRNA-Gly". It matches the Rfam family "tRNA". Rfam says of the family: Transfer RNA (tRNA) molecules are approximately 80 nucleotides in length. Their secondary structure includes four short double-helical elements and three loops (D, anti-codon, and T loops). Further hydrogen bonds mediate the characteristic L-shaped molecular structure. tRNAs have two regions of fundamental functional importance: the anti-codon, which is responsible for specific mRNA codon recognition, and the 3' end, to which the tRNAs corresponding amino acid is attached (by aminoacyl-tRNA synthetases). tRNAs cope with the degeneracy of the genetic code in two manners: having more than one tRNA (with a specific anti-codon) for a particular amino acid; and 'wobble' base-pairing, i.e. permitting non-standard base-pairing at the 3rd anti-codon position. RNAcentral also lists the same sequence under 6 other names. The record is from RNAcentral. Lineage: Bacteria; Pseudomonadati; Verrucomicrobiota.
GCGGGUGUAGUUCAAUGGUAGAACGCCAGCUUCCCAAGCUGGACACGAGGGUUCGAUUCCCUUCACCCGCU